UAGGAAACAUGAGGCUGCUGUUGUCCGAGGCAUAGGGGUUUGGUGUGCGUGGGCCUGACUGAACCCGGUUCUUAUUUGCCUGUUUUUUGACACUGGAGCCAUCGUCAUACUCAUCUUCAUCAUCAUCUUCCUCUUUUUUCUCCAGACCAGGGUGCGGUUGCAGCUUUGGGACAUCUGUUGGACAAGAUAAAAGGUUGCAAUGAGGCAGGAUGUGAAUUGGGAGAUCACUGGAGACACUCCCUUCCUUCCCCUCUCCCUGAUCCAACAGGAACACAGGCAAGAGGGCACCUGACACCACACUGAAACCACAGCCAGAACACCCCAGAAGACAGGAACAUCCUCCCUCACAGAGGAUCACACCACUGUUUCUUUCCUCCAUGAGGUAAGAGCAUCCAAAAAUCCAGUCUGCAAAAAAACCUACAUCCUUCCACCCCAUCCAGGUGUCACACAGAGAAGUUAAUGCACAGAGCACACAGUCAGAUACUGCAGCUGCUCAGGGAGAUCUAAGCAAGAACAAGCACCUGCUGCCUGCAGGACCAGCAGAUACAGGUGCAAACAGGAAAUGGAAAACCCUUUCCAUGAACAGCCCUACCCCACAUCACUGCACCCCCCAACCCCACAGCUACCAGAGAGCAACAUGGUCCUACCCCACUCAAACCCAGCCCUCUGAGCUUGGGGCCUGAACUGCAGGUCCCCCACACAGCAAAGUGCCACCUGGCCACAAGGUUCUCACCAAAUCUUCAGCAUCACUUGGAAAUCUGACUAACAGUAAAGCAAAGUGAUGGUUUGGUGAGAGGGGUCCUAAACACCCCCUGUUUGGGAGCCAGAGGGGCUUCCAGUCCAGCACACUUACAAAGAGUGUGAUGGAAGUACAAGAACUUUUCUAGCACUCCCCACUGCUACCCAGAUGAUCUGAUACCCAGUAAGAAAACACUGCCUUGUCCUCAAGCUGAGAAGGCAAAACAAAGCUCCAGGAAGUUCCAAAACAAACUGAUUUUUCUCGUUCCAAAAUGACAGGAUUUGUGACUUGGAGGAGAACGAGGACAUUACACACCUACUUCACUCCGCAACUGCACUCUGUGGGAACUCACUGAGAGAGAAACAAUUUUGGCAGAUGUGGGUCAGCAAGAGCUAUGAUCUCAUAGUCUGAGAAGCAACAGGCUGCUCUCCAAGGGGGAAGAGCCUUCUGGCUCAAAACCUGUGCUUACCUUCCACUGUUCCUUGCAGAAUGUAUAGGGCACAGAUUUUUGGAUUGUCAUAGUAGCCCUAGAGAAAGCAAAGGCAGCAGUCAGUCCACAUUCCUUGCCUCAGCUGCAGUUCUGAGGCAAGGAAUGGUCUCCCCACGUCCCAUCCCCUCUCCUUCAGCACAGAGCUGCACUGCACAGCUGGGGAACAAGGAGAAAGGGAAGAUCAGGGCUCUGCCCUGGAAAGCUUAUUACCUUUACAAACUCAAUGUGGAGCUUCCCCGUGAACGUGGAAACCUCCCCCUGGACACUCAGUUUCCCCUUUUUGAUACUCAUGGGAAUGAUCUCAUCGUGAGCUGUGCUGUGUCCAACUCUGUCAAAAAUGUCCAAGUCUUUCACCACCACGUGGCCAUUCAAGCGAACAUCAAAUACCUUCAGGGUGAAAGAAAUGACAGAGUCAGAACAGAUUCAGGCACGUGACAGCUGAAAUGGGAACAGAACAGGAAAGGUCUCUGCUUGUUAUGCACCCAGGACCUGAAAGCAUUGUAACAUGCACUGCCCCACUCCCUUGGGAAGGAUUCAGAGCCCAAAGCAGCCAGGUAGAGAUACUGAAGCAUUAACCUUGCUUUCAAAUACCCUGGAACCUGCCUCCUCCUUUUAAAAUACCCCCUACAUCUGCUGUUCUGAACUGAGGACAGAAGAAUUUUAUUCUGGUUUAUUCAUGCUUUUUUUUCCACAACUUUCUUUCCACCUCCUGUCUGAGGACCUGCUCCUACCACCCCGGGGUGGCUGUGGCACACCACACCCUAGGGAAUGAAGCCAUUUCUAACUAACAGCCUGCAGCAGAACAGAGAGGAGGAAACAAGCUGGUGAAGAACACAGGGUUUGAAGGAGGUAAAAUGUUUAACUGCUAACCACAUCUGUGAAUUCAUAGUGAAAGUCCUCCUCAGGGCUGCAAUGACUCAAACUUCACUCAGCACCUGGGGAAUCCCAGCAGAACCACAUCAAGGAAGAGGAACCAAAGAUGCCUCAGCCCUUCAGUUUAAUCUGAAGCUGCUUUUUGCAUCCGUUCUGUAAGCCAGCCCCACCAGUUCUGUUCCCUGAAAUACCUCUCUGGCAGGAAGGCAGCACAGUGCUUAAGGAGAUCAGCUCUAAAGAAGCUGAUGGAGUCAAGGGAAAGACAGGCUAUUACACAAACCACUCCUACCCCGAUUUAUCACAGGGCUUUGAGUUCUUUGUGCUUCUGUUUCCACCUCUGCACACAAGGUAUUUCAAAAGUGGACAAGAGCAAUAAAGAGGGCGAAUUUAAUUCUGUGCUUUCAGGACCAGACUGAACCAGUAUCAAGUCUUAUUUCAUUUGUAAAAAUUGUUUUGAGUAGGUUCCAGAUCACCUCCCUGCUUCAAUCUGUGCAAUACUUCCUCCAACACAACUGUGCUGUCACGGCAGGAACAACUGUUCAGGAAAAACGUAAAAAAACUCUUCAAAACCAGCACAGCCUAAACAGGUCAUAAAACUCUAUUGCUAGUUAUGUUUAGUUGAACAUGGUUUUUGAAUGCUUUGAAAUGCAGUUUUCCAGUCUGACUGUAUAGCUGGAACGUGGGAGAGAGCUCUAAAGUUUCAGAGCCCGUGAGGGCUCUAGGAUCAAAGUUAACCAUCAGUGCCUUACUUCACUCCUUCCUCCAGCAUGCAAAGCAGCAGAGGCAACCUGAGCACACACAGUCAUAGCCAGGAACUCACAUCAAAGACACACAGGAGCUGUUGCUUACCUUCUGUUGAGACUGUGCAAAAUAGACCUCUGCAAACUUCAACACCAGCACAUAGUCACCCUCCUCUUUGAUGGGAACUUCAUAGCCAAAGGUUUCCUCAUUGUAGCGCUCGGUCUGGUACAGAAUCUGGUCUUCUGCGUUGGACCGCAGGAUCGGCAGCUUCAUCCCGUAGUCAGAAGCUGGGUUUCAAGCACAAAAGAGUGAGAGGAGGGGUUAAUUUCUGAGGCACAUGCAAGAAACACUUUAUAUACUCUUAUAGUGCUUAACUCCACAAGUGGCACUUGCAUCCUUGUCAGACCCGUCUCCCCUCCUUGCUCUGACCAGGUGGCGGCACUACUGGAGCAGAAGCAGAGGGAACCAAAGCCCUGGAACCCCAGCCCUGUAGGAAAAUAGCUCUGGACCUGCUGCAGUCCAGACAAAGUAAAUUCACUUGCACCAUUUCAGAAAGAAGAGCUUGUUUCACAAACAGUGCACAAAGCCGAAAGACUUGGCCAGUGGCUCUUGUUCCUAAGAGGAAAAACACCUAGAAUAUUUUUACGGUAUUUUCAAAUCUCAAACUCUGAGUAGAAAACAAAACCAGUGGGCACAGGACUGACUUGACUCGUUGAUACAACAGAUUUGAAGGUAGCAGUUGAUGGCAUCAGGUUUUAGAGACUCAUCCCCCUCAAGUGAAAACCUAGGGGAUGGUAGAAGUGUGAAAAGCAUUAGGCAUCUUACAACACCCUUUCUUCUCAUCGCAGCCCUGCAAUACUGUCAGCCUGAAGACAGGAAGAAGGAAGCAAGAUACACAAGGGUUUCAAGAGCACCAACAGCUCCAUCAGCUGCUGUUCUCACAGCCACCCAGCUGAAGUGGGUGCUGUCUGGAGCCAUCUGAACAGCCCCCUGAGAAGGGCCCAAACAACAUUCCUAAACAGCACAAUAACUGACAAAAUAAGAGAAAUCAUAAAAUUUGCCUCCUCUCACUCAUUGUUUCACCACAUCUCAAGCAGCCCCCAAAAGACUUUAACUCGACUUGGCAUUUUAUUGUGCCAGGGUUACUGUACAAAUGCAAACUGAUGCAAUGCCUCCAGAGCUGCAAAUCCAGUGACUCCCCAGCGAAGUAGGGGCAGGAGGGAAGACUGUGGACACCAUCUGCCCACUGGCACUUGAGGCAGGAGAAGUUGAUCCAGACGAAGUUCUCUGCUGACACUUACCACUUCCAACCCCAUUUCCAUGGGAACAGACACUGCAUCAGCCAAGACAAAGCAAGAACUACUAACCCAGAGCACGUUGCCAAAGACAGAGCCAAUGCAAACGAGUGAGAGGAAAUUAAUGCCAGUUCUUAGUCUCCUGUUUCACACAGAGCUGUUCAGGCGAUCGUCCGCUUCUCUUUACCACCCGAACCUGGGCGCAAGGACUGAACACUCUAAUCACCAGAAACACAGAGGGUGAAAAGUUUAACCUGUCCUCCCACACAGGUAUUUCUGGCCAGCUACAGAUUACAGUGACAGCGAACCAAGGGCUCCACAGAAGUACGUUUCUAUUAGAGGAAAGCCUGCACAGGAAGCAAGUCCUUUAAUAGCCAAGAAGGUAACUGGAGAGGAAGACCUGUCACCUGCGUGUCAGAGCCCUGCUGACAGAGCUGUGGAGGCGAGCUGGGUUUUACAGCAGGCUGGGUGCUCACUGGGAGCAAGCAGUGCCCAUCAAACUGUAACUCAACUAUGCCUGGCACCUGCCUAAUUCUGUAAUUGCCAUCAGCACAUUCAGUCCUUCAGGGUACAGCGGCUGAACUGAGGCUUGAAAAAAAAGGUUUUAAUUUGCCCAGAGGCAGGACAGCCCAGAAUUACUAUCCCUAGGUCAUUUCCUCCCAGUCAGCCAUAUAUUUCUGCUGAAGCCAUUACAUGCCUAUCAACACAGAGGAACCCAGAGAAAACGAACAAUGGUGCAAUAAAAAGCCAUUGAGGGAAAUGCAGCUGAGAGCUCAAAGGGGUAAAGUCUCCACUGUGCCUGGCACCACUGGCUGAAGCAGAAUUACUGCAAUGGCCUGCUGUGCAGAGGAGACACCACAGGCUUUCCCCAAAGGAAGAACAUGUCACAAUGUGCUUGAGAAAGACCCUUUUUUCUCCUCAACUCAGAAAUAAAUUGUUCCAGUCCACAAGGACAUUCAAGUGACACAUGUGAGAGGUCUAUGAAGGGAAGCUGACCUACAGCAGCCAAGGCACCUUGGGCAACUGGGAUGCCAGCUUCCAUGGGUGCAAAAAACAAACCAUAUUAGAACUUAAAAGUAACCUCCCCUGCAUCCACUGUGCCCAAAAGGUUCUCCAUUUGGGAUAGCACUCAUGCAGGGUAAGCAAUGGCAGUUCCAGCUGUAUAGCACAGGAAAAUCCUUACCAUCCUACACGGAAACAGCAAAGGUUAGACUCAAAAGUCAACAGACUUUCUCCACACUCCACCUGGAAAUGACUGCAGAGCAGCUCAGCACAGCUAACGUUUUAUACAACUGUGAAUCAA
Long non-coding RNA from Chiroxiphia lanceolata (lance-tailed manakin), 5441 nucleotides. RefSeq lists it as uncharacterized. The record is from RefSeq and is a predicted model, not a curated record. NCBI's taxonomy places the organism in Eukaryota, Metazoa, Chordata, Aves, Passeriformes, Pipridae. The transcript has 2 exons.